CUGCCUACAAUGCAAGUCGACGGACCAGUAAUUUAUUAUUGGUUAGUGGCGAAAGGGUUAGGAAUAGAUAGGUAACGUACCCUGUGCUCCGGGAUAGCGUCAGUAGCUUCGGCUACUUUCCGAAAGGGGCGGUAAUACCGGAUAAUAUCAGUUGCCGACUGGGCAAUUGACCAAAGAUUUAUCGGCGCGGGAGCGGCUUAUCUCUUAUCAGCUUGUUGGUGAGGUAAAGGCUCACCAAGGCUAUGACGGGUAGCGGGACUGAGAGGUUGACCCGCAACAUCGGGACUGAGACACUGCCCGGACCUCCACGGAGGGCUGCAGUAACGAAUAUUGCGCAAUGGGCGAAAGCCUGACGCAGCGACGCCGCGUGUAGGAGGAAGUCUCUCGGGAUGUAAACUACUGUCAGGGGUUAGAAAGUUUUCGGAUUGAUCAGCCCCAGAGGAAGUCACGGCUAACUUCGUGCCAGCAGCCGCGGUAAGACGAAGGUGGCUAGCGUUGUUCGGUGUCACUGGGCUUAAAGAGUGUGUAGGCGGAUGUGUUAGCGUCUUGUGAAAUCCCUCGGCUUAACCGAAGAACUACUGGGCGAACUGCACAUCUUGAGGCAUGCAGGGGCCAGUGGAACUCUUGGUGGAGCGGUGGAAUGCGUAGAUAUCAAGAGGAACGCCAGCGGUGAAAACGGCUGGCUGGACCUGUCCUGACGCUGAGACACGAAAGCGUGGGGAGCGAACGGGAUUAGAUACCCCGGUAGUCCACGCCGUAAACGAUGUCUACUACGUGGUGGGGGUUCUGAUGCCGUCACGGGCGAACCAAAGUGCUAAGUAGACCGCCUGGGGAGUACGGUCGCAAGGCUAAAACUCAAGGAAAUGACGGGGCCUCCCACAGCGUGGAGCAUGUGGAUAAAUCGAAGCACGCGCAAACCUACUGGUUGACAGCAUGUAUGUUUCCGGAACAGCUAUCUGGCUCGGGUGAACUGCACAGUGCUGCUGCUGCGUCAGCUCGGUCCUGAAGUCAGCUAGUCAAU
RNAcentral lists this ribosomal RNA (1021 nucleotides) under uncultured bacterium. RNAcentral describes it as "bacterial SSU rRNA". It matches the Rfam family "Bacterial small subunit ribosomal RNA", at positions 47 to 1084 of the family's 1533-position model. The record is from RNAcentral.